This 72-nucleotide microRNA precursor is filed under the name Saimiri boliviensis boliviensis (Bolivian squirrel monkey). RNAcentral describes it as "miRNA (ENSSBOG00000018614.1)". Lineage: Eukaryota; Metazoa; Chordata; Mammalia; Primates; Cebidae. The record is from RNAcentral.
AGGUUGGUGCAAAAGUGAUUGCAGUGUUUACCAUUGACAGUAACGACAAAAACUGCAAUGAUUUUUACACCA